RNAcentral lists this unclassified non-coding RNA (431 nucleotides) under soil metagenome. RNAcentral describes it as "partial contains 5.8S ribosomal RNA, internal transcribed spacer 2, and large subunit ribosomal RNA". The stretch from base 1 to 120 matches the Rfam family "5.8S ribosomal RNA", at positions 35 to 154 of the family's 154-position model. The record is from RNAcentral.
GAUGAAGAACGUAGCGAAAUGCGAUACGUAAUGUGAAUUGCAGAAUUCAGUGAAUCAUCGAAUCUUUGAACGCAUAUUGCGCUCUCUGGUAUUCCGGAGAGCAUGCUUGUUUGAGUAUCAGUAAACACCUCAACUCCCCUUUCUUUUUUGAAAUGGGAGCUGGACUUGAGUGAUCCCAACGCUUUUCUCACCGAAAAGUGGCGGGUUACUUGAAAUGCAGGUGCAGCUGGACUUUUCUCUGAGCUAAACGCAUAUCUAUUUAGUCUGCCUAAAAACAGAUUAUUACCUUUGCUGCAGCUAACAUAAAGGAGAUUAGUUCUUGUGCUGACUGAUGCAGGAUUCACAGAGACAGCUUCGGCUGGCCUUUGUAAACUCGAUCUCAAAUCAAGUAAGACUACCCGCUGAACUUAAGCAUAUCAAUAAGCGGAGGA